GUCGCCAGCAGGCCGUCGUCGUCGGCCCGCGCCGCCUGCCGCUCCACCCGCAGGGCCGCCGUCGUGGCCAAGUACGGCGACAAGAGCGUCUACUUCGACCUCGAGGACAUCGGCAACACCACCGGGCAGUGGGACCUCUACGGCUCCGACGCUCCCUCGCCCUACAACCCGCUCCAGGUGAUGCUUCCAUUUCAUCCAAUUUCCUGCAGUUAUUCUUCCAUACUCUCGUAAAAGAAAUCGUUUAGGACAAUGAUAUGGGCUGUCAAACCUAACUUUAACCUCUUAUUUUUCACGUCACCAGAGCAAGUUCUUCGAGACGUUCGCGGCUCCGUUCACCAAGAGAGGCCUGCUGCUGAAGUUCCUGCUGCUGGGCGGGGGCUCCCUGCUGGCCUACGUCAGCGCGUCGGCGUCGCCGGACCUCCUGCCGAUCAAGAAGGGACCGCAGCAGCCGCCGCAGCCGGGCCCGCGCGGCAAGAUCUAAGCUCAUCGACCAGCUCCGGC
This 501-nucleotide long non-coding RNA is filed under the name Sorghum bicolor (sorghum). RNAcentral describes it as "long non-coding RNA (SBIC_LNC016776)". Lineage: Eukaryota; Viridiplantae; Streptophyta; Magnoliopsida; Poales; Poaceae. The record is from RNAcentral.